GCUAAACGCGAAGAACCUUACCUGGUCUUGACAUAGUAAGAACUUUCCAGAGAUGGAUUGGUGCCUUCGGGAACUCUGACACAGGUGCUGCAUGGCUGUCGUCAGCUCGUGUCGUGAGAUGUUGGGUUAAGUCCCGUAACGAGCGCAACCCUUGUCCUUAGUUACCAGCACGUUAUGGUGGGCACUCUAAGGAGACUGCCGGUGACAAACCGGAGGAAGGUGGGGGAUGACGUCAAGUCAUCAUGGCCCUUACGGCCUGGGCUACACACGUGCUACAAUGGUCGGUACAGAGGGUUGCCAAGCCGCGAGGUGGAGCUAAUCUCACAAAACCGAUCGUAGUCCGGAUCGCAGUCUACAACUCGACUGCGUGAAGUCGGAAUCGCUAGUAAUCGCGAAUCAGAAUGUCGCGGUGAAUACGUUCCCGGGUCUUGUACACACC
Molecule: ribosomal RNA, 439 nt
Filed under: uncultured bacterium
Lineage: Bacteria
Description: bacterial SSU rRNA
Rfam family: Bacterial small subunit ribosomal RNA
Source: RNAcentral